Molecule: unclassified non-coding RNA, 246 nt
Filed under: Hevea brasiliensis (rubber tree)
Lineage: Eukaryota; Viridiplantae; Streptophyta; Magnoliopsida; Malpighiales; Euphorbiaceae
Source: RNAcentral
GAAGCUGGAUCUUCCUAUCUUAGACUCUGCGAAUAACUUCCUCUGAGCAAGUAGUUGACUAGAGGUGAAAGAUCCCCGUGGAGUCCCAGAAGAGGAAGAACCACUGGAGUUGGCAAUACUUCCAUUUGGGAAUGAUUUGUGUGAACCAUGACUGGAAUCCUGGAAUGAAGAUUCUGAACUUGAAGAACCUAGGGCAUCCUGAUGACCAAAGGGCAUGUAAUCAGUCCCUGGAAGUUCCAGUUUGGG